RNAcentral lists this ribosomal RNA (1398 nucleotides) under Klebsiella sp. G1-15. Its description in RNAcentral is "16S ribosomal RNA". It matches the Rfam family "Bacterial small subunit ribosomal RNA". The record is from RNAcentral. Lineage: Bacteria; Pseudomonadati; Pseudomonadota; Gammaproteobacteria; Enterobacterales; Enterobacteriaceae.
AGUCGAGCGGUAGCACAGAGAGCUUGCUCUCGGGUGACGAGCGGCGGACGGGUGAGUAAUGUCUGGGAAACUGCCUGAUGGAGGGGGAUAACUACUGGAAACGGUAGCUAAUACCGCAUAAUGUCGCAAGACCAAAGUGGGGGACCUUCGGGCCUCAUGCCAUCAGAUGUGCCCAGAUGGGAUUAGCUAGUAGGUGGGGUAACGGCUCACCUAGGCGACGAUCCCUAGCUGGUCUGAGAGGAUGACCAGCCACACUGGAACUGAGACACGGUCCAGACUCCUACGGGAGGCAGCAGUGGGGAAUAUUGCACAAUGGGCGCAAGCCUGAUGCAGCCAUGCCGCGUGUGUGAAGAAGGCCUUCGGGUUGUAAAGUACUUUCAGCGGGGAGGAAGGCGAUAAGGUUAAUAACCUUGUCGAUUGACGUUACCCGCAGAAGAAGCACCGGCUAACUCCGUGCCAGCAGCCGCGGUAAUACGGAGGGUGCAAGCGUUAAUCGGAAUUACUGGGCGUAAAGCGCACGCAGGCGGUCUGUCAAGUCGGAUGUGAAAUCCCCGGGCUCAACCUGGGAACUGCAUUCGAAACUGGCAGGCUAGAGUCUUGUAGAGGGGGGUAGAAUUCCAGGUGUAGCGGUGAAAUGCGUAGAGAUCUGGAGGAAUACCGGUGGCGAAGGCGGCCCCCUGGACAAAGACUGACGCUCAGGUGCGAAAGCGUGGGGAGCAAACAGGAUUAGAUACCCUGGUAGUCCACGCCGUAAACGAUGUCGAUUUGGAGGUUGUGCCCUUGAGGCGUGGCUUCCGGAGCUAACGCGUUAAAUCGACCGCCUGGGGAGUACGGCCGCAAGGUUAAAACUCAAAUGAAUUGACGGGGGCCCGCACAAGCGGUGGAGCAUGUGGUUUAAUUCGAUGCAACGCGAAGAACCUUACCUGGUCUUGACAUCCACAGAACUUACCAGAGAUGGCUUGGUGCCUUCGGGAACUGUGAGACAGGUGCUGCAUGGCUGUCGUCAGCUCGUGUUGUGAAAUGUUGGGUUAAGUCCCGCAACGAGCGCAACCCUUAUCCUUUGUUGCCAGCGGUUCGGCCGGGAACUCAAAGGAGACUGCCAGUGAUAAACUGGAGGAAGGUGGGGAUGACGUCAAGUCAUCAUGGCCCUUACGACCAGGGCUACACACGUGCUACAAUGGCAUAUACAAAGAGAAGCGACCUCGCGAGAGCAAGCGGACCUCAUAAAGUAUGUCGUAGUCCGGAUUGGAGUCUGCAACUCGACUCCAUGAAGUCGGAAUCGCUAGUAAUCGUAGAUCAGAAUGCUACGGUGAAUACGUUCCCGGGCCUUGUACACACCGCCCGUCACACCAUGGGAGUGGGUUGCAAAAGAAGUAGGUAGCUUAACCUUCGGGAGGG